CGGGACGGGUGAGUAACGCGUGGGUAACCUGCCUUGUACUGGGGGACAACAGUUAGAAAUGACUGCUAAUACCGCAUAAGCGCACAGUAUCGCAUGAUACAGUGUGAAAAACUCCGGUGGUACAAGAUGGACCCGCGUCUGAUUAGCUAGUUGGUAAGGUAACGGCUUACCAAGGCGACGAUCAGUAGCCGACCUGAGAGGGUGACCGGCCACAUUGGGACUGAGACACGGCCCAG
This 236-nucleotide ribosomal RNA is filed under the name uncultured bacterium. RNAcentral's name for it is "partial 16S ribosomal RNA". It matches the Rfam family "Bacterial small subunit ribosomal RNA", at positions 100 to 334 of the family's 1533-position model. The record is from RNAcentral.